Molecule: ribosomal RNA, 587 nt
Filed under: uncultured Glomus
Lineage: Eukaryota; Fungi; Glomeromycota; Glomeromycetes; Glomerales; Glomeraceae
Description: SSU rRNA
Rfam family: Eukaryotic small subunit ribosomal RNA
Source: RNAcentral
AAGCUCGUAGUUGAAUUUCGGCGAUCAGUAGGUUGGUCAUACCUAUGGUAUGUACUGGCUUUACUGAUUCCUCCUUCUUGAUGAUCUGUAAUGUCAUUAAUUUGGUGUUGCAGGGAGUCAGGACUGUUACUUUGAAAAAAUUAGAGUGUUUAAAGCAGGCAUACGCUUGAAUACAUUAGCAUGGAAUAAUGAAAUAGGACGUUCGAACCUAUUUUGUUGGUUUCUAGGAUUGACGUAAUGAUUAAUAGGGAUAGUUGGGGGCAUUAGUAUUCAAUUGUCAGAGGUGAAAUUCUUGGAUUUAUUGAAGACUAACUACUGCGAAAGCAUUUGCCAAGGAUGUUUUCAUUAAUCAAGAACGAAAGUUAGGGGAUCGAAGACGAUCAGAUACCGUCGUAGUCUUAACCAUAAACUACGCCGACUAGGGAUCGGAUGAUGUUAUUUUUAAUGACUCAUUCGGCGCCUUACGGGAAACCAAAGUGUUUGGGUUCCGGGGGGAGUAUGGUCGCAAGGCAGAAACUUAAAGGAAUUGACGGAAGGGCACCACCAGGGGUGGAGCCUGCGGCUUAAUUUGACUCAACACGGGGAAA